GAUCAUAACAUGUUGAGAGUUCGUCUUUGUGAAGCAUGAUUUGAUGAAGAAUCGAUUAAACGAAGGGAUAAUGGUUCAUUAAUCGCUCAUAUUGCUAAACUUGAAGCUCAGGUGGAGAUGGUCAAAUGAAUGAUUUAGUUUGCUGCUAUUAUCAUUGGAACCGCGAUUGGUUUAAACGUGGUAAAUGGAGUUAGUUGAGCCAGUCCUCAGAGUGUUGUCAUAACCGAAAGGUAACCUUAAACAGAUUACUUCUUUGGUUGUGAAGAUCGUGUGAUUUUGGAAUAAGAUCGUGUGAUUCUUGAAGUCAUGCAUUAUUUGUGGAAUUUAAGCUAUUUAGUUGAUUUAUGUUUGCGUUUUUUUGUGAGAGAAGUCAAAUGAUUUUGUUACUUUUCUUCAUUUGAUAGUGCGGUUUUGUGAUAGGACUACAACUUGCCCCUUUCAUUAAUCUUAGUGUUAGUGUAUAAGUAAAUGAUUCCAAACUGCUUGAAAUUUCCACAGGUCCCAAAUCGUCACUCAUAAGAAAAUUAUUCAUAUAAAUAGCUUUUGCCGUCGACAUAACUGUUUUGUGUUUUCUAUCUUAAUUUGUGUUUCUAUUGUAGUAUACGACGCCGUUGACAUUUUCGGGAUCUCACAAGGACCGAGGAAGUGGAGGAGGUAGGGGUUCGGGUACUACAAGUUGUAGGGGGUCUACGGUGAGGCCAAGUUUAGACAUGAACAAUCUUAUAAAGUUGUUCAACGGUUUGGAUUUGUUAAAACUCGAGCUUAAUCGAUUGGAAAUUGAAGUCACAUGUGAU
This is a long non-coding RNA of Helianthus annuus (common sunflower), 794 nucleotides long. RefSeq lists it as uncharacterized. Lineage: Eukaryota; Viridiplantae; Streptophyta; Magnoliopsida; Asterales; Asteraceae. The transcript has 3 exons. The record is from RefSeq and is a predicted model, not a curated record.